Molecule: ribosomal RNA, 253 nt
Filed under: uncultured bacterium
Lineage: Bacteria
Description: partial 16S ribosomal RNA
Rfam family: Bacterial small subunit ribosomal RNA
Source: RNAcentral
GACGUAGGGCGCGAGCGUUGUCCGGAUUUAUUGGGCGUAAAGAGCUCGUAGGCGGCUCGUUGCGUCGGCUGUGAAAACCCGCAGCUCAACUGUGGGCUUGCAGCUGAUACGGGCGGGCUGGGAUUCGGUAGGGGAGACUGGAAUUCCUGGUGUAGCGGUGAAAUGCGCAGAUAUCAGGAGGAACACCGAUGGCGAAGGCAGGUCUCUGGGCCACUACUGACGCUGAGAAGCGAAAGCAUGGGGAGCGAACAGG